GCUGGGUGUGGUGGCACACACCCGUAAUGCCAGUGGCUCAGGAGGUUGAGGCAGGAGGAUUGCAAGUUCAAAGCCAGCCUCAGAAACUUAGUGAGGCACUUUACAACUCAGCAAGACCCUGUCUCUA
Molecule: small RNA, 127 nt
Filed under: Marmota monax (woodchuck)
Lineage: Eukaryota; Metazoa; Chordata; Mammalia; Rodentia; Sciuridae
Source: RNAcentral